Long non-coding RNA from Vigna unguiculata (cowpea), 1800 nucleotides. Lineage: Eukaryota; Viridiplantae; Streptophyta; Magnoliopsida; Fabales; Fabaceae. The record is from RefSeq and is a predicted model, not a curated record.
AAUUCCUCCAUUCCCUCCCAUCUUACCUUACCAUAACAAAAAGUUCCUUCUCUCUUUCACUCUCACUCUCACUUUUUUCUGUGCUUCUCUUUCUCUCUCCUUUCACGCUCCUCGAAUAGUAUAGAGAGGAAAAAAGGGUCUCAAAGAUGAAACCAAAAGACGGGUUUGUUGCUGAAGGUCCCUAUAAGAGGUUUCUCAUCAUGCACGUGACUAGCAGCAAGGAGGCCAUGGUCAACUCUCUGAGAAUUGGGAGGUGUGACCAAAAAAAAGCCAUUAGUGGCUCUGAAAUUGGAGCUGACAAUUCUCCUGGAUUGGUGGCAGCAGCAGCAGGAGCUUCACUUUAAUCUGGUGCUAUCCUAUCUGAGCUUUUUACUUCCUUCUCUCAUCUUUUUUCAUCAUCUAGUUUUUAUCACACUUUUUUUUUUCUAGGACUUUUCUUGACCUUGUAAGACCUUUUCUUGACCUUGUAAGACCUCACACCUUACCUAUUUUCUUUGUUUCUGUUUACGAGAAAAACCCUAUAUCACAAUCCACUGAUAUAGAGUUUGAUCUCCUUCUUUCCCCGUUGCCACCCAACUCAUCCUCUCCUUCCUUGUCUAUCCCUCCUGAGCUGUUACAGUUUUUGCCUACCAAGAUGAAACAACUAAUAUGCCAUGGCUUCAAAGAAAAUGACUAAGGAUCUUAGCUUACUUUAGAACCUCGCUCAAUGAGGGUUCUUCAAAUCUGGUAGCUAUUCGGAGACCAUGGCUUCCAGAUUUACAAUCGGGGUAUAAUUUAUUUUGUAGUUCUUUUACCUCUGAGAAAUCAAUGUAGCUUGCAGUUUAGUCAGCUGCUAGUAUACUUGAUCGUGGUCCUUAAGGUUGGUCGUGGUCCUUAAGGUUGGUCGUGGUCCCUAUCUUGUUGAUUUGCUUUCUUCUUUUAUGCAAAACAAAUGAGAUAAAUGCCAUGAAUAAGCUCAAUUUGGCACUACAUGUGUCCUAGGCUACUAGAGCCUCAUCUCUCCAUCCAUUACAUAGAACUGAAAGGCAUUAAAGUCACACACUCUCUCCAAUUGAAUUACAUCAAGUAAGAAGAAUGGACCACCCUUCUCUUGCUUAGUACUAGUCUUUCUUUCUCUCUUUUUUUCUAGUGUAAUUUAAAAUGCAAAUAUUCAAUUUUCUGUUAGUCCAGCAAGUGUGAAAGUAUGAUAACCUUGGUAGCAAGUGAGAUGACAGCAAAUUUGACGCUGAAAACGCAAUUUCCCUUUGGCUUUCUUGAUUUGGAUGGGUGCUUCAGCCAUUCCUUUCACACGGCAGGGGGAAGGACAAGCACUUUGGGAUAGAAUACAACCUGAGCCCAUAAGGAAUAUCACACACCCCAAUGUUUUUGAUGGGGCUGCCACACACCUACCACCCUCAAAUAAUGAAGAAUAAUACCUCUCAAAUUACCACUUUCUCCUUCACUAAAAUAUCAAAGAUGUCGGCAACACAAAGAAACAAGAGGGUAGGGUGGAAUUUAUCUGUUUUUAACCAUAUUCCAUUUCAGAUGCCUAACAUAUUGUUUCCUUCAAUCAUCGGCGCGUGGUAGACCAACCUAAUAGCGUAUAGACAAAUAUUUGUUCUCUGUACAAAUAAUGUAUGUAGUAUAUUCAAAAACGGAUGCAUAAAAUUUUGUGUAUUGACACGAUUUGUGUGAUGGUUAUGCAAGUCUAGGGAAAGAAAGAAAUUGUGACACAUCAACUACAGAAACCUUUUGCCUACAAAUUCAAUUCAACUGCAUACCUUGACUUUGAUAAUCUAUUCUGAUUUUUCAGGUUUUUAA